This 386-nucleotide transfer-messenger RNA is filed under the name Helicobacteraceae. Its description in RNAcentral is "Helicobacter pylori_C Standard tmRNA". It matches the Rfam family "transfer-messenger RNA". From Rfam's summary of the family: Bacterial tmRNA, also known as 10Sa RNA or SsrA, is named for its dual tRNA and mRNA-like properties. Its role is to liberate the mRNA from a stalled ribosome. The record is from RNAcentral. RNAcentral also lists the same sequence under 1 other name. Lineage: Bacteria; Pseudomonadati; Campylobacterota; Epsilonproteobacteria; Campylobacterales.
GGGGCUGACUUGGAUUUCGACAGAUUUCUUGUCGCACAGACAGCAUGCCAAGCGCUACUUGUAAAACAGCAACAAAAAUAACUGUAAACAACACAGAUUACGCUCCAGCUUACGCUAAAGUUGCGUGAGUUAAUCUCCUUUUGGAGCUGGACUGAUUAGAAUUUCUAGCGUUUUAAUCACUCCAUAACCUUAAGCUAGACGCUUUUAAAAGGUGGUUCGCCUUUUAAACUAAGAAACAAGAACUCUUGAAACUAUCUCAAGGUUUUAGAAAGUUGGACCAGAGCUAGUUUUAAGGCUAAAAAACUAACCAAUUUUCUAAGCAUUGUAGAAGUUUGUGUUUAGGACAAGAUUUUUGGACUGGGGUUCGAUUCCCCACAGCUCCACCA